CCGAAUCCCUCAGCCCCGAUCCGCACCUCAUCUCUUCCCCGACGCCGCCGACUACUCCAAGCCCUAACCGCUGCCCUCUCCGCCGCCGAAGCCUUCACCCCUCGGUGCCCUAGCCACCCGGCGCCACCCGACCGCCUGCUUUCUGCCCACCGGCGCUGACGCCGAGCACCGCUCCUCCCCGCUGCGUACGGUGAUCCCGACUCCUCUGUGCCGGCACCCGAGCCCUAGAGCCGACGACCACCUUGUGCCCUAGCCGACUCCUUCCCGACGCCACUGCCCUAGGUUUGGGCCACAGCUUUGCAUUUCCUUUCCUCUGCCCUUUGCUGUGGAGUUUACAGCCGCCGACCACAAAUUUGCAUUUCCUCUGCCCUUGAUUCAUUCAGCACCGUCGGCCACAGUUUUCCUCAGCCUUCUCCACUGCACAGUGCUGACCACGACCUCACCUUGUGCCCUAGUGCUCUUUGCCUUUGAUCAAGUCCACGCGAUUCACCUGGUUGCCAGUAGCAAUGAGCUUGGCAGAGGAUCAUCAGAAGAGGGGCUGUGAGGAAGAGGACUGGUCGCGAGACGAGCAUCUCGAUAUCGGAUUGGACC
Molecule: long non-coding RNA, 591 nt
Organism: Zingiber officinale
Lineage: Eukaryota; Viridiplantae; Streptophyta; Magnoliopsida; Zingiberales; Zingiberaceae
Exons: 3
Source: RefSeq, a predicted model, not a curated record